AUUGAACGCUGGCGGCAUGCUUUACACAUGCAAGUCGAACGGUAACAGGCCGCAAGGUGCUGACGAGUGGCGAACGGGUGAGUAAUGCAUCGGAACGUGCCCAGUCGUGGGGGAUAACUACUCGAAAGAGUAGCUAAUACCGCAUACGAUCUAUGGAUGAAAGCGGGGGACCGUAAGGCCUCGCGCGAUUGGAGCGGCCGAUGUCAGAUUAGGUAGUUGGUGGGGUAAAGGCUCACCAAGCCAACGAUCUGUAGCUGGUCUGAGAGGACAACCAGCCACACUGGGACUGAGACACGGCCCAGACUCCUACGGGAGGCAGCAGUGGGGAAUUUUGGACAAUGGGCGCAAGCCUGAUCCAGCAAUGCCGCGUGCAGGAAGAAGGCCUUCGGGUUGUAAACUGCUUUUGUACGGAACGAAACGGCUCUGGUUAAUACCCGGAGCUAAUGACGGUACCGUAAGAAUAAGCACCGGCUAACUACGUG
RNAcentral lists this ribosomal RNA (482 nucleotides) under uncultured bacterium. RNAcentral describes it as "partial 16S ribosomal RNA". It matches the Rfam family "Bacterial small subunit ribosomal RNA", at positions 30 to 507 of the family's 1533-position model. The record is from RNAcentral.